UACGUAGGGGGCUAGCGUUGUUCGGAAUUACUGGGCGUAAAGCGUGCGCAGGCGGCUUCUCAAGUCAGGGGUGAAAGCCCAGAGCUCAACUCUGGAAUUGCCUUUGAGACUGAGUGGCUUGAGUACGGGAGAGGUGAGUGGAAUUCCCAGUGUAGAGGUGAAAUUCGUAGAUAUUGGGAAGAACACCGGUGGCGAAGGCGGCUCACUGGCCCGUAACUGACGCUCAGGCACGACAGCGUGGGGAGCAAACAGG
RNAcentral lists this ribosomal RNA (253 nucleotides) under uncultured bacterium. Its description in RNAcentral is "partial 16S ribosomal RNA". It matches the Rfam family "Bacterial small subunit ribosomal RNA", at positions 524 to 776 of the family's 1533-position model. The record is from RNAcentral.